CAGUAGCCGCGGUAAUACGUAGGUGGCAAGCGUUGUCCGGAAUUAUUGGGCGUAAAGCGCGCGCAGGUGGUUUAAUAAGUCUGAUGUGAAAGCCCACGGCUCAACCGUGGAGGGUCAUUGGAGACUGUUAAACUUGAGUGCAGGAGAGAAAAGUGGAAUUCCUAGUGUAGCGGUGAAAUGCGUAGAGAUUAGGAGGAACACCAGUGGCGAAGGCGGCUUUUUGGCCUGUAACUGACACUGAGGCGCGAAAGCGUGGGGAGCAAACAGGAUUAGAUACCCCCGUAGUCCCUGUCUCUUAUAC
This 301-nucleotide ribosomal RNA is filed under the name uncultured bacterium. RNAcentral's name for it is "partial 16S ribosomal RNA". It matches the Rfam family "Bacterial small subunit ribosomal RNA", at positions 509 to 807 of the family's 1533-position model. The record is from RNAcentral.